Photinus pyralis (common eastern firefly) is the source of this 1017-nucleotide long non-coding RNA. RefSeq lists it as uncharacterized. The transcript has 5 exons. Lineage: Eukaryota; Metazoa; Arthropoda; Insecta; Coleoptera; Lampyridae. The record is from RefSeq and is a predicted model, not a curated record.
GCCGGAGACGGUACUAAACUCAGGGGAGGUAGACACACACACAUAAAAUAGCACAAAAUUCUAGGAGGCUGCGCAAGAAAGAUUAAACACAAAUCAAUAGGUACAGUUCAAAAGAAAAAAAAAUUAAAUUAAAUUAGCCACCACAAGAACAGUGUACUCGCUCGGGGCGUUAAGGCGAGUUAAAUGACGUUUGCCAAGGCCAGGGUUAUUGAUAGCGCUACCGGGAUAACUCCUCAACCACACUUACCUUACCUAGGUAUACUACUGUAAAUAUAUAAUGUCUUGUGAUAUGCUUUACAACCAAAAUUAAAAUGUAUACAUACUGACUGGUAAGUAUUUCAAACGUUAAAAAUAAAUUACUUGAAUGCCGCCAAAAUUUGACUGAACCAUAACCUCCAAUUAAAACAUAACCUCAAAUUAUACAAGUUUAAAUACUGUCAUAAAAAAACACAAAAAAAACAACACAGCAGGUUCAGGGGAACUAAGGAAAGAAACGGAAUGAAGGAUAGCUUAGAAAGAGUACUGAACGAUAAUGUUGGACAGCACACACACGACAGCUGACCUUUGGAUUAGCUGAAGAUGUAGGGGACUUGCCAGCGCAGUAGUCCGGAAUAAGAGUGCGGUGAACGGCAAAGGUGACGAUGGUUAUCCGCCACUCGGAUGGUAUGAAAGGGAAUCCUCCAACACAGAUACGACGACAAAAAUAAGGUCCUUAACGGGACAACAAUGCUCGAAGGCACAAUCAGAUAGAGAUAAAAGCUAAAAUAAGGAUAAUUUGAAUACUGUUACACUAUAGAAAACAUACCUCUACGAUGUUAGGCGAGCUUUAAGUGAAUGUGUUUGUUGAUCCGCAAUAGCGUAGAAAAUUAAAUACCAAAAAUACGAAACUGGUAAUAUCGCAGUAAAAUGAAGAAUUGGUGGAAACACAUGUAUGUCGACAAAAUGUCUUCAAGGAAGUGCAGAGUACAAUUGAUAAGAGCAACGUGAAAGGAAAAGUGAUAAUAGUUAUCAGUAACA